Molecule: ribosomal RNA, 498 nt
Filed under: uncultured bacterium
Lineage: Bacteria
Description: partial 16S ribosomal RNA
Rfam family: Bacterial small subunit ribosomal RNA
Source: RNAcentral
GGACGAACGCUGGCGGCGUGCCUAAUACAUGCAAGUUGAGCGAUGAAGAUUGGUGCUUGCACCAAUUUGAAGAGCAGCGAACGGGUGAGUAACGCGUGGGGAAUCUGCCUUUGAGCGGGGGACAACAUUUGGAAACGAAUGCUAAUACCGCAUAACAACUUUAAACAUAAGUUUUAAGUUUGAAAGAUGCAAUUGCAUCACUCAAAGAUGAUCCCGCGUUGUAUUAGCUAGUUGGUGAGGUAAAGGCUCACCAAGGCGAUGAUACAUAGCCGACCUGAGAGGGUGAUCGGCCACAUUGGGACGGAGACACGGCCCAAACUCCUACGGGAGGCAGCAGUAGGGAAUCUUCGGCAAUGGACGAAAGUCUGACCGAGCAACGCCGCGUGAGUGAAGAAGGUUGUCGGAUCGUAAAACUCUGUUGGUAGAGAAGAACGUUGGUGAGAGUGGAAAGCUCAUCAAGUGACGGUAACUACCCAGAAAGGGACGGCUAACUACGUG